This 67-nucleotide non-coding RNA is filed under the name Burkholderia dolosa AU0158. RNAcentral's name for it is "Burkholderia dolosa AUO158 int-alpA RNA". It matches the Rfam family "int-alpA RNA". From Rfam's summary of the family: Acidobacteria (1 example), Planctomycetes (1 example), Proteobacteria. Environment (Lake Washington) Lineage: Bacteria; Pseudomonadati; Pseudomonadota; Betaproteobacteria; Burkholderiales; Burkholderiaceae. The record is from Rfam by way of RNAcentral.
GCCGCGCCUAGCUCGACGGGGCGAAAGCAGGGUUCCCUUACCCUGUUGGCGCGGCUCUUUCCAAGGG